CGUCCCUAUCGUCUAGAGGCCUAGGACAUCGCCCUUUCACGGCGGUAACCGGGGUUCGAAUCCCCGUAGGGACGCCAU
This 78-nucleotide transfer RNA is filed under the name Acinetobacter radioresistens SK82. RNAcentral describes it as "tRNA-Glu". It matches the Rfam family "tRNA". Rfam says of the family: Transfer RNA (tRNA) molecules are approximately 80 nucleotides in length. Lineage: Bacteria; Pseudomonadati; Pseudomonadota; Gammaproteobacteria; Moraxellales; Moraxellaceae. The record is from RNAcentral.